This 301-nucleotide ribosomal RNA is filed under the name uncultured bacterium. RNAcentral describes it as "partial 16S ribosomal RNA". It matches the Rfam family "Bacterial small subunit ribosomal RNA", at positions 509 to 807 of the family's 1533-position model. The record is from RNAcentral.
CAGUAGCCGCGGGAAUACGUAGGGUGCAAGCGUUAAUCGGAAUUACUGGGCGUAAAGCGUGCGCAGGCGGUUAUAUAAGACAGAUGUGAAAUCCCCGGGCUCAACCUGGGAACUGCAUUUGUGACUGUAUAGCUAGAGUACGGCAGAGGGGGAUGGAAUUCCGCGUGUAGCAGUUAAAUGCGUAGAUAUGCGGAGGAACACCGAUGGCGAAGGCAAUCCCCUGGGCCUGUACUGACGCUCAUGCACGAAAGCGUGGGGAGCAAACAGGAUUAGAUACCCCUGUAGUCCCUGUCUCUUAUAC